UUGUCCCUGGGGUGUUUGCCAGCUGGAGAUGUCCCUGAGCCGAUACUUCUGUACCAGGGGGCUGCUUGCCAAAGCCAGUGUGCAUGUCCGCAUGACGGAAAGCCUUAGGCCUGGCGGCAUCCUCCGCCUUGAACUUUCGGGUUCAAGGGCUAACCCGGCAGCGGCAUUCCCGGGGACUCU
Molecule: non-coding RNA, 180 nt
Filed under: Pseudomonadaceae bacterium
Lineage: Bacteria; Pseudomonadati; Pseudomonadota; Gammaproteobacteria; Pseudomonadales; Pseudomonadaceae
Description: 6S RNA
Rfam family: 6S / SsrS RNA
About the family: E. coli 6S RNA was the first non coding RNA to be sequenced, but its function was unknown until recently. It consists of 184 nucleotides that fold into an extended hairpin structure with a large single-stranded internal bulge.
Source: RNAcentral